This 1222-nucleotide long non-coding RNA is filed under the name Homo sapiens (human). Its description in RNAcentral is "HSALNT0108030". The record is from RNAcentral. Lineage: Eukaryota; Metazoa; Chordata; Mammalia; Primates; Hominidae.
GUGUGCCUUUGAUGUUCAUGUUUAAUUUAUGGAGAAACUCUGACCUAAUUUUAUCUCUCAAGAUCAGCCCUUAAAAUCUCACAUGCCCACCUCUUCUGCAACAGUCCCUGUCCCUAGAGGACUUGAAUAGUUUUCAUUCUGGCCUCCUGUCUCAUGAGUGCAGUUUAUUUUGAUUGUCAUCUUCUCCUGGAUAUAAAGAAAUCCUGGUGAUUUUUAUUUUCCACCUCAAUUUUCAUGAUCACCAUUAUUCUACUUAAACAAAGGCUUCAAAAUGGUGAGAAGAUAAUGAGAAAAGGAAAGAAUCUAUGGAUAAGAAAUAAAUAGGAAACCCUGCCAUGUUGAAAGGAAUACAACCCAACAUGGAGUAGAAACAAGAAAUCAAGAUAUACACUCUAGGACAAGGAGCAAUAAGAAUUUGACUUAAAAUGGUUAUUUAGCAUGUAUUAGAGUUGCAACUGGAUUUUAUGUAGUUAUGAGGGAACCCUGAAAAAAGUACCAUUGAACAGAAAUGAGAUUUGGUUUCAGAACUUCAGCCCAAAUGCUAUUAAAUCUUUUGCAUUUCUUGAACUAUACCCCUUGUGUCUUUGUCAUAAUUUUCCAGAGGUCUUCUCAGUCAAUAUGGGUUCAGUUUACAUAAUCCUGUCAACUGAAUAAAGUAAAUAUGUAUUAGGCUUCUGAGUAAAGUGUAAUCAUAAGCAUUGCAUUGAUAUAAGAUAUAUAAACUCAAGGAUAUAAAGAAACAAUUUUUUUGUUCGUUUUGUUUUGGUUUUGUUUUAAGUCAAAGGAAAGGUGUGGUUCAGGAGUGAUAAAUUGCAGCCUGGUGAUCAAGAAGAUUUAAAAUUUAUCUCAACUUUACUAAAGUCUUCCUGACUAUAGGCCCCUGACCAAUCUUUUCUUGGAGCACUUACUUCAGAAAAAUUGCAAAUGUUAAUUUUUUAUUUGCUGAUGAUGUAAUAUCUGUCUCAAGUAUCUGGGAAUCAUCAAUUUGAAAAGUAAUAGGAAAGAAAGAACCCUUGUCUCCUAGUUUCAGUGAAAUGAUAGGAGUUGUAGAUAAAUACCAACUAGCAACACAAAUGGCCUAAUAACAUUGCACAACCUAUUUGAUAACAUCAUUGUCUUCCAGUACUUUUCCAGUAGCUUCCCCUGGUGCUUAAGAAUUUACCCAACUUCUGUUUGAGUGGAGUGGAGUCAUUCUUUCUCCUUCACAAUAGUGUUGAAUAAA